UACGUAGGGUGCGAGCGUUGUCCGGAAUUAUUGGGCGUAAAGGGCUCGUAGGCGGUUUGUCGCGUCGGGAGUGAAAACUCAGGGCUUAACCCUGAGCCUGCUCCCGAUACGGGCAGACUAGAGGUAUGCAGGGGAGAACGGAAUUCCUGGUGUAGCGGUGAAAUGCGCAGAUAUCAGGAGGAACACCGGUGGCGAAGGCGGGUCUCUGGGCCGAUACUGACGCUGAGGAGCGAAAGCGUGGGGAGCAAACAGG
RNAcentral lists this ribosomal RNA (253 nucleotides) under uncultured bacterium. RNAcentral's name for it is "partial 16S ribosomal RNA". It matches the Rfam family "Bacterial small subunit ribosomal RNA", at positions 524 to 776 of the family's 1533-position model. The record is from RNAcentral.